RNAcentral lists this unclassified non-coding RNA (161 nucleotides) under soil metagenome. RNAcentral describes it as "partial internal transcribed spacer 1". The record is from RNAcentral.
CAGAGUUGCAAGACUCCCUAAACCAUUGUGAACCUACCUUCUACCGUUGCUUCGGCGGGCGGGCCCAGCGCCCCCCCCGGCCCCCCGCGGGCGCCCGCCGGAGGAUACCCCAAACUCUUGACAUUAGUGGCCUCUCUGAGUAUUCUUUACUGAAUAAGUCA